Molecule: ribosomal RNA, 514 nt
Filed under: uncultured bacterium
Lineage: Bacteria
Description: bacterial SSU rRNA
Rfam family: Bacterial small subunit ribosomal RNA
Source: RNAcentral
GACGAACGCUGGCGGCGUGCCUAAUACAUGCAAGUCGAGCGGACUGGAGGGAGCUUGCUCCCAAAGGUCAGCGGCGGACGGGUGAGUAACACGUGGGUAACCUGCCUGACAGACUGGGAUAACGCUUGGAAACGAGUGCUAAUACCAGAUAGGCUGCCUGAUCGCAUGAUCGGGCAGGGAAAGAGGCUUUCGCCUCACUGUCAGAUGGACCCGCGGCGCAUUAGCUAGUUGGUGAGGUAACGGCUCACCAAGGCGACGAUGCGUAGCCGACCUGAGAGGGUGACCGGCCACACUGGGACUGAGACACGGCCCAGACUCCUACGGGAGGCAGCAGUAGGGAAUCUUCCACAAUGGGCGAAAGCCUGAUGGAGCAACGCCGCGUGAGUGAUGAAGGCCUUCGGGUUGUAAAACUCUGUCUUCUGUGACGAACAAGCCUGUGAGUGGAAUGCUCAGGCCCUGACGGUAACAGAGGAGGAAGCCACGGCUAACUACGUGCCAGCAGCCGCAGUAAAAC